UACGAAGGGGGGCUAGCGUUGCUCGGAAUUACUGGGCGUAAAGGGCGCGUAGGCGGAUGUUUAAGUUGGGGGGUGAAAGCCCAGAGCUCAACUCUGGAAUUGCCUUUGAGACUGAGUGGCUUGAGUACGAGAGAGGUGAGUGGAAUUCCCAGUGUAGAGGCGAAAUUCGUAGAUAUUGGGGAAGAACACCAGUGGCGAAGGCGGCUCUCUGGACCGUAACUGACGCUGAGGCGGCGAAAAGCGUGGGGGAGCAAACAGG
This 259-nucleotide ribosomal RNA is filed under the name uncultured bacterium. RNAcentral describes it as "partial 16S ribosomal RNA". It matches the Rfam family "Bacterial small subunit ribosomal RNA", at positions 524 to 776 of the family's 1533-position model. The record is from RNAcentral.